This 157-nucleotide ribosomal RNA is filed under the name uncultured bacterium. Its description in RNAcentral is "partial 16S ribosomal RNA". It matches the Rfam family "Bacterial small subunit ribosomal RNA", at positions 355 to 509 of the family's 1533-position model. The record is from RNAcentral.
UGAGGAAUAUUGGUCAAUGGGCGCGAGCCUGAACCAGCCAAGUCGCGUGAGGGAGGACGGCCCUACGGGUUGUAAACCUCUUUUGCCGGGGAGCAACGGGCUCACGUGUGGCGCCACUGAGAGUACCCGGAGAAAAAGCAUCGGCUAACUCCGUGCC